AGGAGGAAACAGGGAAGGUGCUGCCAUUCUCAUUUCCAGUGGGAGCUAAUCCUACAGUGUGAGAAUAUAAAAGUGGCUCAAUUAGAUCAGCGUCAAAGGUCACCUUGCAAAGGAUUUCAUCCAUAGGAAAAAAAAACCAAACAGUGCCAAAAGAUUAACAGCUUGGACGCCGUGAGAUCCCCCAGGUGAUUAACUGGACAUCCACUGAAGAGAUUAGAGAUAAAAACAGGUGACAUUUCAAGAUGCUGCCUGUAUCUGAGAGCCUUCAUUGCAAAUUAGGGAAUGUGAGACUGCUCCAUCAGGAAUCCUGGGAGACCAAUGUUAUAUGUCAAAGUGCUUUCAAGUGCUUUCACAAAACAGGCUUACCUUGCAUUUCUUUAUGCAACUACUUCUUCUGUCUCUUUGCUCCUCACUUGUUCUUCUUGUGAUCUGUAUUUUCACUUCCUAAAUUGAUUUCAAUUUUCUUCCUAACAAGAAAGAAAAACUGUAAAACUGUGGGUUUUUUGAGCUUCUUAUUGCUAGAAGACUUUUUCACUUGUAUGACAUAAAAAUAAGUUUUCCACGAGAUUUCCUACUAAUGCUGUGCUACUUAGUCUCAUGUUAUUAAACAAAGACCUGGUAAACUGAAGUGCAGAAUACCAAGUUUUGUCUCUUUGUGGAGCUGGACUGUAGGAUAGGCAAAUCUGGUGGGGCCUCUUCUAUUUUAUACUUCAUUGGUAUCAUAUGUGAUUUGCUGUGAGAAGGGUGACAAAAUGCACGAAUUAAAUAUUACUACUUUGUCUCUUUGAAUGUUAUACUAUUUUAAUUACACCAUUGCUCCCCAACCAAUGAGAUAAUUGUAUUUAAAAUAAUACCAAUGGCAAAAAUAAAAAUAGUUACACUUUGUAACAGUGCA
Long non-coding RNA from Columba livia (rock pigeon), 895 nucleotides. RefSeq lists it as uncharacterized. NCBI's taxonomy places the organism in Eukaryota, Metazoa, Chordata, Aves, Columbiformes, Columbidae. The record is from RefSeq and is a predicted model, not a curated record. The transcript is spliced from 2 exons.